AUCUGGGCGGCGGAAUUCAGGACGACGAGCGUGUCUGGGAAGGCGCGUUUAUCGUUUGAUAUUUCCGUCGCCAAACACAAUGCAGACGUCGCGACCUGUUCGCGGUCGGUCCCUGCUCGGAGGAGCCGCGUUCGAGUUCGUUGUGCGUCGCGUUUCGGCGCGUCACACGGCGAAGGCGCGGACAAUCUCUGGCUGGCCGUCGGACAGUACGCUAAACGGUGUCCGGUGUCGUCGUCUUAUGUACGCGCGCGCAUCGGUACCGGUCGGCGACGAAUUCUUCGGGCCUCUUUCCGACCCGUCUUGAAACACGGACCAAGGAGUCUAACAUGCGCGCGAGUCGCGGGGUGUCGAGCGUAUCACGGUACGUUCGUUACGUUGCGAAACCCGUACAUGUUGAAGGCGUAAUGAAAGUGAAUAGGGAAGAUGGUGUUCCGAGUACACGUUCCGCGAUCGCUGGUAUCGCGGCCGGACACCCGCAUUCCCGGGGCGUCUCAACGGCCCGUCACGGAUGCGGACGAUCGUCUCUCGGGGCGACCGUCGGUCCGCGAUGAACCGAGGCGCACCCAUAGCGUGCACGUUGGUACCCGAAAGAUGGUGAACUAUGCCUGGCCAGGAUGAAGUCAGGGGAAACCCUGAUGGAGGUCCGCAGCGAUUCUGACGUGCAAAUCGAUCGUCUGAGCUGGGUAUAGGGGCGAAAGACUAAUCGAACCAUCUAGUAGCUGG
This 723-nucleotide ribosomal RNA is filed under the name Neoleonardia extensa. Its description in RNAcentral is "eukaryotic LSU rRNA". It matches the Rfam family "Eukaryotic large subunit ribosomal RNA", at positions 505 to 954 of the family's 3401-position model. The record is from RNAcentral. Lineage: Eukaryota; Metazoa; Arthropoda; Insecta; Hemiptera; Diaspididae.